UAUGAUGAUGAAAUAAAUGCACAUUUAC
This 28-nucleotide small RNA is filed under the name Bombyx mori (domestic silkworm). Its description in RNAcentral is "ovarian small RNA-6644". The record is from RNAcentral. Lineage: Eukaryota; Metazoa; Arthropoda; Insecta; Lepidoptera; Bombycidae.